Molecule: ribosomal RNA, 331 nt
Filed under: uncultured cyanobacterium
Lineage: Bacteria; Bacillati; Cyanobacteriota
Description: bacterial SSU rRNA
Rfam family: Bacterial small subunit ribosomal RNA
Source: RNAcentral
AGUAGUUUGAUCCUGGCUCGAGGACGAACGCUGGCGGCGUGCUUCAUACAUGCAAGUCGAACGAGAAUCUCUAGCUUGCUAGAGAGGAAAGUGGCGGACGGGUGAGUAAUAUGUAGAGAAUCUGCCCUUGAGUGGGGGACAACAGAAGGAAACUUCUGCUAAUACCCCAUACGAGCUUAGUUGAAAUACUAAUCUUGAAAACUCCGGUGCUCAAGGAUGAGUCUGCAUCUGAUUAGCUAGUUGGCGGUGUAAUGGACCACCAAGGCGACGAUCAGUAGCUGGUUUGAGAGGAUGAUCAGCCACAAUGGGACUGAGACACGGCCCAUACUCC